Molecule: transfer RNA, 74 nt
Filed under: Alphaproteobacteria bacterium 40-19
Lineage: Bacteria; Pseudomonadati; Pseudomonadota; Alphaproteobacteria
Description: tRNA-Met
Rfam family: tRNA
About the family: Transfer RNA (tRNA) molecules are approximately 80 nucleotides in length.
Source: RNAcentral
UGCGGGGUAGAGCAGCUUGGUAGCUCGUCAGGCUCAUAACCUGAAGGUCGUAGGUUCAAAUCCUGCCCCCGCAA